ACAUGCAAGUCGAACGGUGAAGGAGAGCUUGCUUUCUGGAUCAGUGGCGAACGGGUGAGUAACACGUGAGCAAUCUGCCCUUGACUCUGGGAUAAGCGUUGGAAACGACGUCUAAUACCGGAUAUGAGCUGUGACCGCAUGGUCAACAGUUGGAAAGAACUUCGGUCAAGGAUGAGCUCGCGGCCUAUCAGCUUGUUGGUGAGGUAAUGGCUCACCAAGGCGUCGACGGGUAGCCGGCCUGAGAGGGUGACCGGCCACACUGGGACUGAGACACGGCCCAGACUCCUACGGGAGGCAGCAGUGGGGAAUAUUGCACAAUGGGCGCAAGCCUGAUGCAGCAACGCCGCGUGAGGGACGACGGCCUUCGGGUUGUAAACCUCUUUUAGCAGGGAAGAAGCGAAAGUGACGGUACCUGCAGAAAAAGCACCGGCUAACUACGUGCCAGCAGCCGCGGUAAUACGUAGGGUGCAAGCGUUAUCCGGAAUUAUUGGGCGUAAAGAGCUCGUAGGCGGUUUGUCGCGUCUGCUGUGAAAUCUGGGGGCUCAACCCCCAGCCUGCAGUGGGUACGGGCAGACUAGAGUGCGGUAGGGGAGAUUGGAAUUCCUGGUGUAGCGGUGGAAUGCGCAGAUAUCAGGAGGAACACCGAUGGCGAAGGCAGAUCUCUGGGCCGUAACUGACGCUGAGGAGCGAAAGGGUGGGGAGCAAACAGGCUUAGAUACCCUGGUAGUCCACCCCGUAAACGUUGGGAACUAGUUG
This 756-nucleotide ribosomal RNA is filed under the name Microbacteriaceae bacterium. Its description in RNAcentral is "bacterial SSU rRNA". It matches the Rfam family "Bacterial small subunit ribosomal RNA", at positions 53 to 822 of the family's 1533-position model. The record is from RNAcentral. Lineage: Bacteria; Bacillati; Actinomycetota; Actinomycetes; Micrococcales; Microbacteriaceae.